This 255-nucleotide ribosomal RNA is filed under the name uncultured prokaryote. RNAcentral describes it as "partial 16S ribosomal RNA". It matches the Rfam family "Bacterial small subunit ribosomal RNA", at positions 521 to 775 of the family's 1533-position model. The record is from RNAcentral.
UAAUACGUAGGGUGCAAGCGUUGUCCGGAAUUAUUGGGCGUAAAGAGCUCGUAGGCGGCUUGUCGCGUCGGCUGUGAAAACCCGGGGCUCAACCCCGGGCCUGCAGUCGAUACGGGCAGGCUGGAGUCCGGCAGGGGAGACUGGAAUUCCUGGUGUAGCGGUGAAAUGCGCAGAUAUCAGGAGGAACACCGGUGGCGAAGGCGGGUCUCUGGGCCGGAACUGACGCUAAGGAGCGAAAGCGUGGGGAGCGAACAG